This 547-nucleotide ribosomal RNA is filed under the name uncultured bacterium. Its description in RNAcentral is "bacterial SSU rRNA". It matches the Rfam family "Bacterial small subunit ribosomal RNA", at positions 239 to 803 of the family's 1533-position model. The record is from RNAcentral.
GAUUAGCUAGUUGAUGAGGUAACGGCCCACCAAGGCAACGAUCGGUAGCCGGACUGAGAGGUUGAACGGCCACAUUGGGACUGAGACACGGCCCAGACUCCUACGGGAGGCAGCAGUGGGGAAUAUUGCACAAUGGGGGAAACCCUGAUGCAGCGACGCCGCGUGGAGGAAGAAGGUCUUCGGAUUGUAAACUCCUGUUGUUGAGGAAGAUAAUGACGGUACUCAACAAGGAAGUGACGGCUAACUACGUGCCAGCAGCCGCGGUAAAACGUAGGUCACAAGCGUUGUCCGGAAUUACUGGGUGUAAAGGGAGCGCAGGCGGGAAGACAAGUUGGAAGUGAAAUCCAUGGGCUCAACCCAUGAACUGCUUUCAAAACUGUUUUUCUUGAGUAGUGCAGAGGUAGGCGGAAUUCCCGGUGUAGCGGUGGAAUGCGUAGAUAUCGGGAGGAACACCAGUGGCGAAGGCGGCCUACUGGGCACCAACUGACGCUGAGGCUCGAAAGUGUGGGUAGCAAACAGGAUUAGAUACCCUGGUAGUCCACACCGU